Molecule: ribosomal RNA, 396 nt
Filed under: uncultured bacterium
Lineage: Bacteria
Description: partial 16S ribosomal RNA
Rfam family: Bacterial small subunit ribosomal RNA
Source: RNAcentral
AUACGUAGGUGACAAGCGUUAUCCGGAUUUACUGGGCGUAAAGGGCGUGUAGGCGGUCUUGCAAGUCAGAAGUGAAAUUCCUGAGCUCAACUCGGGCGCUGCUUCUGAAACUGCAGGACUUGAGUGCUGGAGGGGAUAGCGGAAUUCCUAGUGGAGCGGUAAAAUGCGCAGAUAUUAGGAAGAACACCGGUGGUGAAGGCGGCUAUCUGGACAGUAACUGACGCUGAGGCGCGAAAGCGUGGGGAGCAAACAGGAUUAGAUACCCUGGUAGUCCACGCGGUAAACGAUGAUCACUAGGUGUUGGCACGCAUAGCGUGUCGGUGCCGCAGCAAACGCAAUAAGUGAUCCACCUGGGGAGUACGUUCGCAAGAAUGAAACUCAAAGGAAUUGACGGGG